This 786-nucleotide small RNA is filed under the name Pan troglodytes (chimpanzee). Its description in RNAcentral is "retained intron". Lineage: Eukaryota; Metazoa; Chordata; Mammalia; Primates; Hominidae. The record is from RNAcentral.
CCACGGGCGUCGGGAAGACGCUGCUGGUGAAACGGCUGCAGGAUAUCCUUCCGCGCGGGGACGGGACCGGGGUGCGGGGGGCACCCGGACUGGGGCGGGGACUCACCCUUUAGCUGCUCGGGUCCUUGACCGCUUCGCACAGGUGAGCUCCCGGGAUGGGAAAGGCGACCUGGGGGAGCCGCCCCCGACACGGCCCACGGUGGGCACCAAUCUUACUGACAUCGUGGCACAGAGAAAGAUCACCAUCCGGGAGCUUGGGGGGUGCAUGGGCCCCAUCUGGUCCAGUUACUAUGGAAACUGCCGUUCUCUCCUGUUUGUGAUGGACGCCUCUGACCCCACCCAGCUCUCUGCAUCCUGUGUGCAACUCUUAGGUCUCCUUUCUGCAGAACAACUUGCAGAAGCAUCGGUGCUGAUACUCUUCAAUAAAAUCGACCUACCCUGUUACAUGUCCACGGAGGAGAUGAAGUCAUUAAUCAGGCUUCCAGACAUCAUUGCUUGUGCCAAGCAGAACAUCACCACGGCAGAAAUCAGCGCCCGUGAAGGCACUGGCUUAGCAGGGGUGCUGGCCUGGCUCCAGGCCACCCACAGAGCCAACGAUUGACUGCACGGCAGAGGCGCGGCUGGCCUGAGCUGGGGAGAGGUGGCAGAGGGCAGUAUGGCUUUGCUGCCAAUAGUUUCUUCUCACAGGGGCAGAAUAACCCAAAGUAACCCUACAUGAUGGGGCUCUGCGCUGAGAUGCAAUGAUGCGUAAACUGAGGCAUGUGGAGAUGGAAGUUGACAUCUGGC